UACGUAGGGCGCAAGCGUUGUCCGGAAUUAUUGGGCGUAAAGAGCUCGUAGGCGGUUUGUCGCGUCUGCUGUGAAAACCUAAGGCUCAACCUUGGGCUUGCAGUGGGUACGGGCAGACUAGAGUGCGGUAGGGGUGACUGGAAUUCCUGGUGUAGCGGUGGAAUGCGCAGAUAUCAGGAGGAACACCGAUGGCGAAGGCAGGUCACUGGGCCGCAACUGACGCUGAGGAGCGAAGGCAUGGGGAGCGAACAGG
RNAcentral lists this ribosomal RNA (253 nucleotides) under uncultured bacterium. RNAcentral describes it as "partial 16S ribosomal RNA". It matches the Rfam family "Bacterial small subunit ribosomal RNA", at positions 524 to 776 of the family's 1533-position model. The record is from RNAcentral.